This 313-nucleotide ribosomal RNA is filed under the name uncultured Methanomicrobiales archaeon. RNAcentral describes it as "bacterial SSU rRNA". It matches the Rfam family "Archaeal small subunit ribosomal RNA", at positions 1027 to 1338 of the family's 1478-position model. The record is from RNAcentral. Lineage: Archaea; Methanobacteriati; Methanobacteriota; Methanomicrobia; Methanomicrobiales.
CGUUAAGUCAGGCAACGAGCGAGACCCACGCCAACAGUUGCCAGCUCGUCCUCCGGGAUGGUGGGGACGACUGUUGGGACCGCCUCUGCUAAAGAGGAGGAAGGAAUGGGCAACGGUAGGUCAGCAUGCCCCGAAUUAUCUGGGCUACACGCGGGCUACAAUGGGUGGGACAAUGGGUAUCGACACCGAAAGGUGAAGGCAAUCUCCUAAACCCAUCCGUAGUUCGGAUUGUGGGCUGCAACUCGCCCACAUGAAGCUGGAAUCUGUAGUAAUCGUGUCUCAAAAUGGCACGGUGAAUAUGUCCCUGCUCCUU